Molecule: long non-coding RNA, 2457 nt
Organism: Felis catus (domestic cat)
Lineage: Eukaryota; Metazoa; Chordata; Mammalia; Carnivora; Felidae
Exons: 7
Source: RefSeq, a predicted model, not a curated record
GUCAGCGUUUCCAUGGUAAGCGCCGCCUUUCAGGGAUUCAUCAUCCCAGCUGUAAAAAUCCGCUUUAUGCUAGGAUUUGGCAAGAGCUUCGGUCGCUUAAAAUCUAUAUAUUAUUAAAGAUUCUCCUUCGAAUCAAGACGGAAGCGUGGCUCAGAAUGGUGCUCUGCCCCUUGUGGCUGCGCUCCCUGCCAGCUCCGCUCGGCGCGGGCACCCGGGCACAGCCCCUGGCCCUCUCCGGAAGCCGCUUUGCCUUCCGGAAGUGGUUACGUGAAGGCGGCCUUGACCUCGUGGAGGCGAAGUGGCGAUGUCUGUGGGGUCCCGGCUGUGGGGCCGCAGGGGGCUGUUCUCCGAGCACUGGCUCGCUUGCUUCUCUCCCGCGUCCCGGGUCCCAGGGCCAGCGAGGGGAGGGACAGGGGUCCGCACGACCACACGACACGCUGGGUUCCUCGGCUCCCGAGGCCGGGACCCCUGGUGACAUCACAGUGGCAGAAUGUCCAGUUGACUCGGCAACCUCAGGCUCGUUCUGAUUUUAGCUUGCAGCCUGGGCUCCGGUGAUGUGAGGAGAAUCAGGCAGCGAGAUUACAUUAUCAGCCGAAGGAGGAGGCAGUUCGAGUAAAACAGGACCCAGUCUGAACCUUCGUCCCCUCGCACCAAAGCCACCUCUGCUUGGCCUCAAAUAAGACCAAAUUUACCGAAGCUUUGGGGGAGAGCCAGAAUGGGAGCCCGGGUCCCCCGGGUGUCUCACUUCUGCAGGAGGCGGGGCCUUGUGACGGAGCUCGCGCUGAGCAGAAACGUGGGAAGCUGCCUGGCUUUGAUUCCAGCCUCUGCCUUCCUCACUGUGUGACCUUGACUGAAUUACCCAGCCUUUCUGAGUGUCUCCUAUCUCACGGCAAGAUGUCAAGGGGAAGAUUUAGCCACCACCCAGCCCCUCUCCAGCUUGGUGGCCCCAGGCCUGCUGUGAGUGGGGCGGGAAAGAGGAAGAGAGGAAGAGAUUCUCAUAGCGACUCCUCUUACUGUGCAAAGGCCCGCUCCUGGUCAAGUUCAUGCCCAGCACUUUGGUUUUUUAUCUGUUUGCUUACCGCUUCCUGGGUCAAAACAAAAGUAAAAUGCUGCGGGUCUUGUGGUCGCUCUACGACAUUUCUGUCGUUUCUUCAGGAGUGCACGCUUGACUUGACCAAGCUCAGCAGGAGGAAUUGUCUUGUAGAAGCUCAGUCUGGACCCGGGGACAGGGCUUCUGGACCCAUCAUUCCGAUGAAAACAACCCAAGUAUCCACAGGGAUUUUCACCGGCGCAUCGCUAAGAGCUUUACAAGUAACAGCGAAUCUUCACAGAAGCCUUCACAGACUGGCAGGCAGUGAAAAGAUAGAAAAAAUACAGAAAUAAGAAGAGAGCCUGAGUGGUUGUGGACCGUCAGGAGGAGUGGGAGCAACGUCCAGAAGAUUAAGGAAUUUCUAAGCAAUAGAAGGUCAGUGAUGAGAUGAACAGGAAACCGCGAUGCUGGAGAGCUGAAGGCACAGCCGUCACAGGUGAAUUCUCCCCACAGAGUUCCAGAACAGAGGCAACAGACACUGGGUGCACGUGUGAGCAGACAAUGGACCGGAGGGCGGUUCCUUCCUGCCGUCCACUCAUGGCUCUCCUGAGCGCACACAGUCACCUGAGGCUGGCCCCUGUAUCCCAGACUGCAUUCCUGGCCAGGCAAAUGGGAUUCUCGUGGGGGAAAGGAGGUGCUCCCCAGCCACCUCGCAGAUGGUCUGCCCAGAUGUUCCUCUACAAGUGUCAACAGACAAUCGAGAAUUGCCAGACAUUUCCGAAAAGCCAGAGCCUGAGAGAAGCACAAAAAAUAGAACUGACUCCAUGAAAACAGAACUAACACCUGAAACAGAAGAAAACUUUAAUUCAAAUGAAUAUCCUUGAGAGAGCCUUCCAGAGAGCAUCUUGGGAACAGCUAUGAAAAUCUUAAAUAUAAUGCAACACUUGCAUGUGUAGGAAUCCAUUCUGCAGAAAUUUUCACCCAGGUCCGCAAAGACAUAUGGACAAGGCAUUGGGCCAUCGUUCAUUGGGCCAUACCAAUAAUCGUGACUAUUGGAAAUCAUUUCUGGACCCUAGAGAAAAACUCACCUGUGUGCACAAACGUGUUUACUGCACAUUUGCCUGCAGAUGUGAAAAUUAGCAGCACCCUGAAUGGCUAUCCGUCGGAGAAUGGUCCAAUAAAUACUAUGAAAUUUCAUGGCCCCAUUGAAAACAAUGAGCUACUGACAGGUACUGGCAUCAGAAGAUCUCCAAGAAAUGUUAAGGGGAAAACAAUCCCGCAGAACAAUACAUACAGCAUGCCACAUACAAAAAAACCCAAAUAAAUCCACACGCAGAAUCUGUAUCUCUGUAGGUACUUACAUAUGUGAAUAAAUGCAUAAAAACCAGUGAAGGUCAAACACCAAGCUGAUAGAAACAGCUAGAGAC